AACGAACGCUGGCGGCAUGCCUAACACAUGCAAGUCGAACGAGACCUUCGGGUCUAGUGGCGCACGGGUGCGUAACGCGUGGGAACCUGCCCUUAGGUUCGGAAUAACUCCCCGAAAGGGGUGCUAAUACCGGAUAAUGUCUUCGGACCAAAGAUUUAUCGCCUUUGGAUGGGCCCGCGUUGGAUUAGCUAGCUGGUAGGGUAAAAGCCUACCAAGGCGACGAUCCAUAGCUGGUCUGAGAGGAUGAUCAGCCACACUGGGACUGAGACACGGCCCAGACUCCUACGGGAGGCAGCAGUGGGGAAUAUUGGACAAUGGGCGAAAGCCUGAUCCAGCAAUGCCGCGCGAGUGAUGAAGGCCUUAGGGUUGUAAAGCUCUUUUACCCGGGAUGAUAAUGACAGUACCGGGAGAAUAAGCUCCGGCUAACUCCGUG
RNAcentral lists this ribosomal RNA (433 nucleotides) under uncultured bacterium. Its description in RNAcentral is "partial 16S ribosomal RNA". It matches the Rfam family "Bacterial small subunit ribosomal RNA", at positions 29 to 507 of the family's 1533-position model. The record is from RNAcentral.